CCUACGGGAGGCAGCAGUAGGGAAUAUUGCUCAAUGGGGGAAACCCUGAAGCAGCAACGCCGCGUGGAGGAUGAAGGUUUUCGGAUUGUAAACUCCUUUUGUUAGAGAAGAUAAUGACGGUAUCUAACGAAUAAGCACCGGCUACCUCCGUGCCAGCAGCCGCGGUAAUACGGAGGGUGCAAGCGUUACUCGGAAUCACUGGGCGUAAAGAGCGCGUAGGCGGGUUAGCAAGUCAGAUGUGAAAUGCUAUGGCUUAACCAUAGAACUGCAUUUGAAACUGUUAUUCUAGAGUAUGGGAGAGGUAGGUGGAAUUCUUGGUGUAGGGGUGAAAUGCGUAGAGAUUAAGAGGAAUACUAAUUGCGAAGGCGACCUGCUGGAACAUAACUGACGCUGAUGCGCGAAAGCGUGGGGAGCAAACAGGAUUAGAUACCCUUGUAGUC
This 440-nucleotide ribosomal RNA is filed under the name uncultured bacterium. RNAcentral's name for it is "partial 16S ribosomal RNA". It matches the Rfam family "Bacterial small subunit ribosomal RNA", at positions 338 to 795 of the family's 1533-position model. The record is from RNAcentral.